AAGUCAUAACAAGGUUUCUGUAGGUGAACCUGCAGAAGGAUCAUUGGUAGAUGACAAUGGGCUCCUGCGGUCUUCCGUGGGGCCUUCACACACGAGUGAACUCUCUUACGUUAAAACACUGUCUACAGAAAAAGGAUACAUACAUUGAAACUAUAAUACAACUUUUGGCAAUGGAUCUCUUGGUUCUC
This 188-nucleotide unclassified non-coding RNA is filed under the name air metagenome. RNAcentral describes it as "partial contains small subunit ribosomal RNA, internal transcribed spacer 1, and 5.8S ribosomal RNA". The stretch from base 1 to 46 matches the Rfam family "Eukaryotic small subunit ribosomal RNA", at positions 1786 to 1831 of the family's 1831-position model. The record is from RNAcentral.